Molecule: ribosomal RNA, 440 nt
Filed under: uncultured bacterium
Lineage: Bacteria
Description: partial 16S ribosomal RNA
Rfam family: Bacterial small subunit ribosomal RNA
Source: RNAcentral
CCUACGGGUGGCAGCAGUGGGGAAUAUUGCACAAUGGGGGAAACCCUGAUGCAGCGACGCCGCGUGAGGGAUGAAGUAUUUCGGUAUGUAAAGCUCUAUCAGCAGGGAAGAAAAUGACGGUACCUGACUACGAAGCCCCGGCUAACUACGUGCCAGCAGCCGCGGUAAUACGUAGGGGGCAAGCGUUAUCCGGAUGUACUGGGUGUAAAGGGAGCGUAGACGGGCGUGCAAGUCAGAUGUGAAAGCCGGGGGCUCAACCACUGGACUGCUGUUGUAACUGUAGGGCGAGAGUGCCGGAGAGGCAGGCGGAAUUCCUGGUGUAGCGGUGAAAUGCGUAGAUAUUAGGAGGAACACCAGUGGCGAAGGCGGCCUGCUGGACGGUGACUGACGUUGAGGCUCGAAAGCGUGGGGAGCAAACAGGAUUAGAUACCCGAGUAGUC